RNAcentral lists this ribosomal RNA (283 nucleotides) under uncultured bacterium. RNAcentral's name for it is "partial 16S ribosomal RNA". It matches the Rfam family "Bacterial small subunit ribosomal RNA", at positions 338 to 617 of the family's 1533-position model. The record is from RNAcentral.
CCUACGGGAGGCAGCAGUGAGGAAUAUUGGUCAAUGGGCGGAAGCCUGAACCAGCCAAGUCGCGUGAGGGAAGAAGGCCCUACGGGUCGCAAACCUCUUUUGCCGGGGAGCAAGGCCGCCGACGUGUCGCCGCCCGGAGAGUACCCGGAGAACAAGCAUCGGCUAACUCCGUGCCAGCAGCCGCGGUAAUACGGAGGAUGCGAGCGUUAUCCGGAUUUAUUGGGUUUAAAGGGUGCGUAGGCUGGUUUAUAAGUUAGCGGUGAAAAAUCGAUGCUCAACACCG